GAUGGGCCCGCGGUGCAUUAGCUAGUUGGUGGGGUAACGGCCCACCAAGGCGACGAUGCGUAGCUGGUCUGAGAGGAUGAUCAGCCACACUGGGACUGAGACACGGCCCAGACUCCUACGGGAGGCAGCAGCCAGGAAUCUUGGGCAAUGGGCGCAAGCCUGACCCAGCAACACCGUGUGGGCGAUGAAGGCCUUCGGGUCGUAAAGCCCUGUUGAUAGGGACGAAGGGCGAAGGGUUAAUAGCCCCUAGCCUGACGGUACCUUUCGAGGAAGCCCCGGCUAACUACGUGCCAGCAGCCGCGGUAAUACGUAGGGGGCGAGCGUUGUCCGGAUUUAUUGGGCGUAAAGAGCGUGUAGGCGGUUCGGUAAGUCUGCCGUGAAAACCUGAGGCUCAACCUCGGGCGUGCGGUGGAUACUGCCGGGCUAGAGGACGGUAGAGGCGAGUGGAAUUCCCGGUGUAGCGGUGAAAUGCGCAGAUAUCGGGAGGAACACCAGUAGCGAAGGCGGCUCGCUGGGCCGUUCCUGACGCUGAGACGCGAAAGCUAGGGGAGCGAACAGGAUUAGAUACCCUGGUAGUCCUAGCCGUAAACGAUGGACACUAGGUGU
Molecule: ribosomal RNA, 606 nt
Filed under: uncultured Actinomycetes bacterium
Lineage: Bacteria; Bacillati; Actinomycetota; Actinomycetes
Description: bacterial SSU rRNA
Rfam family: Bacterial small subunit ribosomal RNA
Source: RNAcentral